Molecule: unclassified non-coding RNA, 301 nt
Filed under: Glomus sp.
Lineage: Eukaryota; Fungi; Glomeromycota; Glomeromycetes; Glomerales; Glomeraceae
Description: partial contains 5.8S ribosomal RNA and internal transcribed spacer 2
Rfam family: 5.8S ribosomal RNA (bases 1-71)
Source: RNAcentral
GUGAAUCAUCGAAUCUUUGAACGCAAAUUGCACUUUCUGGUAUUCCGGAGAGUAUGCCUGUUUGAGGGUCAGUUAAAACAAAAUCGGUGUUGUUUCUGCUUUUCGUGGUGACGCGUCGGAAUUUAGUUGUUUUAGCUUCGGUUAAGUGACUUAAAAUUUUGCAUGGUUUUCGUACGAAUUUAUUUUUAUUAUGUAAGUUUGGGAUGUGGUAUACAUUACUAGGUUUGGUCAUCCUCAUGAUUCGCACCUAUAAUUUUUCAUUAAAAUGACCUAAAUUCAGUUAGAAUAACCGGUGAAAUUU